Molecule: non-coding RNA, 2198 nt
Organism: Macaca mulatta (Rhesus monkey)
Lineage: Eukaryota; Metazoa; Chordata; Mammalia; Primates; Cercopithecidae
Source: RefSeq, a predicted model, not a curated record
UGGGGACAGAUCUAGGACAGCUCUCUGAUUAUCCUCCCUUGCUAGUAUUCAUACUAUUGUAUGAUCCCUUCUCUGUGAGUGUAGGUGGAACUUGUAAGUUGCUUGUAAACAGUAAAUUAUGACAAAGAUGAUAUGAUGUCACUGUCAUUAUUAUGUCACAUAAGAUUAUGUCUUCCAUCUUGCUAGUAGACCCUCUCCAUUAACUCUCUAUCUUUCUUGUUGAGUGUAAGCUGCUGUAUGAAGGGAUCCACAAGACAAAUAAUUAAGGAUGACCUCUAGUCAACAGCCAGCAAGGAACUGAAUCCCUCAGACCCACAGCUCACAAGAAACAGAAGUGAAGCAGAUUCUUCCUCAGUCAAGUUUCAGUGUAAUUACAUUAAACCGCUUCCUGGAACCAUGGGACUGUGAUGUGCCUUCAUCUAACACGUCUGCUUUAUUGCUCUCACAACCAGUCCCAGGAAAGAGCUGGGGUUUUGGUAUAGCCCCCAACAAGCCACUCUCCUCUCUGCUCAAGCCAGUUACUUCUCUGACUCUGGGGUACCUGAGUCACCCCGAAGGCGAAUGUCUUUAAGCCCUAGGAAGCUUUCUGCUUCUUGAUCAGUGGAAAAUGACCUUAAGCUACCUGAAAGCUCCCUGUCUCCUCAAAUCUCAUCUCCCCAUUCCCCCACCAUCCCCUCUCCAGCUCAUCUCACACCUGGAAGUCUGCAUGAAAGAAGUUUCCACCCCACUAAUAACCUGAAGAAACAAGUGCAGUUCAAAGGAGACCCAUUAACUGAGUUCCACAGCCUAGUCAACAGCAGCUCAACAGUAAGAAUGAGCAAAGCAUGCAAGUUCUUUAGGGAAUUUUACCCAAACCUGCUGGGCAGCUCAAUUAUCCCUAUCUCAUUUCCGCUGGGAAUUCCAAGGAGCUGGUCCUCAAAACACACCAGGAGCCCUUUCCUUUCUGCAGAGCUCUGAGAUCAAAAGAAAUUCCAUCCUGCUACCCUUGAUGCUGGGACCUUUUCCUCCUUGGCCAUUUCCUAGCUUAUUUCCAAGUGGAUUGGAAGGUGUCCAAAGGCCUAAGUUCCAGUCUCAGGUUUAUAGACUGAGUUCCAGUCACAGGUUUAUAUACUGUGAAGUCUCACACCACGUCAGGAAGCAGUAAGUGGCAUGGCCAUCUCGAGGAAGAACCGCCAGUCUCUAGGGAGUUUAGGUCUUAGAUGUGAAGCCUCAAGUAAUUUGCAGAGAUUGUCUUGCCUGCAUAACACACCCUGUUGUUGCCUUUAUAAAGCCAAACUGACAGGGGUUUGUGAAUCAGAACGAUGACUUUGCAUUUCGGCUUAGGGAAGGUGCCCAGUUGGAUUUGUAGAGAAGAACAACCACACCCUCUGCAGUACAGCACCUGGAGAGGAACUGCUGCCAUGACCAUACAGGACACCCUCUGGAUACAAUGCCAGACUUGAUGUGGGACUUACUAACCUAUGGACCCCAGGCACCACCACCUAGACCUGCUCAGCACCUGAAACUUUUCUAUCUCCUGUUCACUCUUCAUGUAGACAUAUCUUCAAGUCAUCUUCUCCAGGUGAUACAAACCUUAAGAGCAUCUUUGUACCCAUCAGGAACGAGUACACAGAGGCUGUGCAACCCUGGAGGCUGCAACCUUUUGUGAAAAAUAAGCUCUCCUUUCCAAAUGUACAAACCUCAUCAUUCUUCAGUUGACAACACUGAGGUUGCUACCUCCCCUGUGGCUGGCAGCAGGAUGAGCCCCAGAUGUGUUUCCAACAUUCACAGCCAUGGAGAGAGAACCGUUCACUGCCACCACCUACACUUCAGGCCCUUUACAGCAGCAGGGUGACAAAGGAAGAGGGAAAUCGACUUGGGAAAGAGAAUUGUUUUGGAUAUUAUGGGUCUGUUGCAAUUCCAUAUGAAUGUUACAAUCAUCUUGUCAGUUUCCACAGAACCCAGAGAUUCCAACAGCUACAGAGGAGGAAGGAACCCACAGCAGCCUAUGUUAACUAGUUCAGCUUCUAUGCAUCUCUCCUUUGAAUGUCUUGGAAGAUACACAUUUGUGGUGGUGCUGUCGCAGGGAGAACCCCAAAACUGGCUUCUUGGCUUCUCAUAGGAAAAAUUUCAUGUGUUGGUGGACAGAGUGAAGUGAAAGCAAAUUUGUUAAGAAAGUAAAGGAAUAAAAAGGUGGCUGCUCUGUAGGCAGCGCUGCC